This 88-nucleotide transfer RNA is filed under the name Bacillota bacterium. Its description in RNAcentral is "Firmicutes bacterium (anaerobic digester metagenome) tRNA-Leu". It matches the Rfam family "tRNA". From Rfam's summary of the family: Transfer RNA (tRNA) molecules are approximately 80 nucleotides in length. Their secondary structure includes four short double-helical elements and three loops (D, anti-codon, and T loops). Further hydrogen bonds mediate the characteristic L-shaped molecular structure. tRNAs have two regions of fundamental functional importance: the anti-codon, which is responsible for specific mRNA codon recognition, and the 3' end, to which the tRNAs corresponding amino acid is attached (by aminoacyl-tRNA synthetases). tRNAs cope with the degeneracy of the genetic code in two manners: having more than one tRNA (with a specific anti-codon) for a particular amino acid; and 'wobble' base-pairing, i.e. permitting non-standard base-pairing at the 3rd anti-codon position. Lineage: Bacteria; Bacillati; Bacillota. RNAcentral also lists the same sequence under 1 other name. The record is from RNAcentral.
GCCGAAGUGGCGGAAUCGGCAGACGCGCGCGACUCAAAAUCGCGUGGGGCAGCCCCCCAUGAGGGUUCGACUCCCUCCUUCGGCACCA